This 700-nucleotide ribosomal RNA is filed under the name uncultured bacterium. RNAcentral describes it as "bacterial SSU rRNA". It matches the Rfam family "Bacterial small subunit ribosomal RNA", at positions 94 to 772 of the family's 1533-position model. The record is from RNAcentral.
AGCGGCAGACGGGUGAGUAACACGUGGGUAAUCUGCCCUCGAGUGGGGAACAACCCGGGGAAACUCGGGCUAAUACCGCAUAACAUCGCGAUGUCCUUGGACGUUGCGAUCAAAGCUGGGGACCGAAAGGCCUGGCGCUUGAGGAGGAGCCCGCGCCCGAUUAGCUAGUUGGUGGGGUCAUGGCCUACCAAGGCGACGAUCGGUAGCCGGCCUGAGAGGGUGAUCGGCCACACUGGGACUGAGACACGGCCCAGACUCCUACGGGAGGCAGCAGUGAGGAAUUAUGCGCAAUGGGGGCAACCCUGACGCUGCGACGCCGCGUGGGUGAUGAAGGUCUUCGGAUCGUAAAACCCUGUCGAGAGGGGCGAAAGAGCGGGGCGUUAACACCGCUUCGCUUUGACGGUACCUCUGGAGGAAGCCCCGGCUAACUCCGUGCCAGCAGCCGCGGUAAUACGGAGGGGGCAAGCGUUGUUCGGAAUUACUGGGCGUAAAGCGCGCGUAGGCGGUUGGGUAAGUCAGAUGUGAAAGCCCCCAGCUCAACUGGGGAACUGCGUCUGAUACUGCUCGGCUUGAGUCCGAUAGGGGAUGGCAGAAUUCCCGGUGUAGCGGUGGAAUGCGUAGAUAUCGGGAGGAAUACCGAUGGCGAAGGCGGCCAUCUGGGUCGGUACUGACGCUGAGGCGCGAAAGCUAGGGGAGCAAA